Molecule: ribosomal RNA, 515 nt
Filed under: Pteridomonas danica
Lineage: Eukaryota; Dictyochophyceae; Pedinellales
Description: partial Bacterial large subunit ribosomal RNA
Rfam family: Bacterial large subunit ribosomal RNA
Source: RNAcentral
AUGUUCCGACCUGCACGAAUGGCGUAACGACUUCCCCGCUGUCUCCAGCAUCGACUCAGUGAAAUUGAAUUCCCCGUGAAGAUGCGGGGUUCCUGCGGUCAGACGGAAAGACCCCGUGCACCUUUACUAUAGCUUUGCAGUGGCAUUAGUGUCGGCAUGUGUAGCAUAGGUGGUAGGCUUUGAAGCGGAGGCGCCAGUCUUCGUGGAGCCGCAAUGUGAAAUACCACCCUUAUCUACAUUGAUGUCUAACCGCGGACCGUUAUCCGGUUCCGGGACCCUGCAUGGUGGGUAGUUUGACUGGGGCGGUCGCCUCCCAAAGAGUAACGGAGGCGCGCGAUGGUAGGCUCAGGCCGGUCGGAAAUCGGUCGUUGAGUGCAAUGGCAAAAGCCUGCCUGACUGCGAGUCUGACAAGACGAGCAGAGACGAAAGUCGGUCAUAGUGAUCCGGUGGUCCCUCGUGGAAGGGCCAUCGCUCAACGGAUAAAAGGUACGCCGGGGAUAACAGGCUGAUACUGC